Molecule: long non-coding RNA, 160 nt
Organism: Helianthus annuus (common sunflower)
Lineage: Eukaryota; Viridiplantae; Streptophyta; Magnoliopsida; Asterales; Asteraceae
Exons: 3
Source: RefSeq, a predicted model, not a curated record
AUGCUUAUUGCUGCUAGUGGAGGGCUGAUUCAACAAAGAACUGGAUGGCGGUUGGAAGGGAUUUUCAUUUGCUCAAAAGUUACUAUCGGGUGAUAUUCUGUUCUUUCAUCUAGUUGGAAGCUGCAAGCUACAGGAGACGUCGUAAACGAGGAAAGUGGAG